This 503-nucleotide ribosomal RNA is filed under the name uncultured bacterium. RNAcentral's name for it is "partial 16S ribosomal RNA". It matches the Rfam family "Bacterial small subunit ribosomal RNA", at positions 30 to 523 of the family's 1533-position model. The record is from RNAcentral.
AUUGAACGCUGGCGGCAGGCUUAACACAUGCAAGUCGAGCGGGGUGAUGGUGCUUGCACUAUCACUUAGCGGCGGACGGGUGAGUAAUGCUCAGGAAUCUGCCUAUUAGUGGGGGACAACAUCUCGAAAGGGAUGCUAAUACCGCAUACGUCCUACGGGAGAAAGCAGGGGAUCACUUGUGACCUUGCGCUAAUAGAUGAGCCUAAGUCGGAUUAGCUAGUUGGUGGGAUAAAGGCCUACCAAGGCGACGAUCUGUAGCGGGUCUGAGAGGAUGAUCCGCCACACUGGGACUGAGACACGGCCCAGACUCCUACGGGAGGCAGCAGUGGGGAAUAUUGGACAAUGGGGGGAACCCUGAUCCAGCCAUGCCGCGUGUGUGAAGAAGGCCUUAUGGUUGUAAAGCACUUUAAGCGAGGAGGAGGCUCUUUUGGUUAAUACCCAAGAUGAGUGGACGUUACUCGCAGAAUAAGCACCGGCUAACUCUGUGCCAGCCGCCGCAGUAA